AGUUUACUCCGAAGUGAGCGGACGGAGGAUUGUAUCUGAUGGGGCACCAUGGCUUUUUCUGUAACCUCUUAGUCUUUCCAAUGGAAAGGGGAUUUUUCCAGGUAACUCUAUUCUGGAAGAAUUGUUGCUUUCCCCAGCGAUUAAAGCACAUAGAAGUUAGAAAAUUAUAUUAGCAUUAUCCUGAGACAACAGUUUCUGGUGUAAUAUGAAACAGGCCUGUAAGCAUCUAAACAUGGGCUUUUGAACUGCUAGGUGGGCAGGAGCAGAAGCAAAUGACGGAAGCUCACUUCAUCACAAAGCAGCAUUCGGGCUUCAAACACGGGCUUGCAGAUUAUCAACCCAGUAUCCUAACCAUGACUGAGAAGACUGGCCUGAAGUCACCUGGUGAGCUUCAGGGACAGCUUGACGUGGGCCUGAGUCUCCCUGGUUCCUAACCUAACCUAUGCCAUGGUGAAUCAGCUGUUACCUCUUUUCAAACAAACAGCUUCCUUGACAAGUUAAGGGGAAAUGAGGCUUGGAGCACAAGAUGUAAAUUUUAUAUGCUGCUGACUGACCAAUUUGAUUUUUACAUGAUAAAUGAAUAGGUCCACUACUAAAUGGCUAGCUUAGUGUUAUUAAUUUGUGCAGCAUAAACACAAAAGAAGCAACAGGAUUUUUAUGUUGUCUUGUAGGCAUAAUGGUUUUUUAGCGGAAAAGAAUCAUAUGGAAAUUGAUUCACUGUUCAUUUUCCUAAGAGCAGCUGCAAAAGAAAUAUUAAUUAUUUUAGUAAUGUGAAUGAUUUGCAAAAUAUGCUGCAUAUAUUUUAUGGCCCAAUAAUGGAUCAUGAUAGCCACUCAGUCCGAAAGCUAUUUUGCCCUUUAUAUGAAAAUAGUUAAAACUACAGCAUUUAUUUAUAAAUAAAUAAUAACAUUUCAAUUCUGAAAAAAUUAUGCUCCUGGGCUUUGUUAUACAAGUGAAAUCUAAAAUUAAUCAUGGUGCAUAAGGAACUGGCCUUAACCUGAUUUUUAUUAAGAUCUUUGGAAGCUGAAAUACUUUAAAAGGUAAAAGUUCUCCUCGUACAUAUGUGCUAGUCGUUCCCGACUCUAGGGGGCGGUGCUCAUCUCCGUUUCAAAGCCAAAGAGCCAGUGCUGUCUCUGUGGCCAUAUGGCCGGCAUGACUAAACGCCAAAGGCACACGGAACGCUGUUACCUUCCCACCAAACGUGGUCCCUAUUUUUCUACUUGCAUUUUUUACGUGCUUUUGAACUGCUAGGUUGGCAGAAGCUGGGACAAGUACGGGAGCUCACCCCAUUACGCGGCACUAGGGAUUCGAAUCGCUGAACUGCCAACCUUUCAAUCGACAAGCUCAACGUCUUAGCCACUGAGUCACCGUGUCCCUUUAAUACUCUCACACUCUCUCUCUCUCUCUCUCUCCCUAUUAUUUAUAUAUAUAUAUAUAUAUAU
Long non-coding RNA from Ahaetulla prasina, 1442 nucleotides. RefSeq lists it as uncharacterized. NCBI's taxonomy places the organism in Eukaryota, Metazoa, Chordata, Lepidosauria, Squamata, Colubridae. The record is from RefSeq and is a predicted model, not a curated record. The transcript is spliced from 5 exons.